RNAcentral lists this ribosomal RNA (580 nucleotides) under uncultured bacterium. RNAcentral's name for it is "bacterial SSU rRNA". It matches the Rfam family "Bacterial small subunit ribosomal RNA", at positions 28 to 574 of the family's 1533-position model. The record is from RNAcentral.
GACGAACGCUGGCGGCGUGCCUAACACAUGCAAGUCAGGGGGAAAGCUGGCUUCGGCCAGGCCUAACACAUGCAAGUCGAGCGGAGCUAAUUAAAAAGCUUGCUUUUCAAUUAGCUUAGCGGCGGACGGGUGAGUAACGCGUGGGCAACCUGCCCUAUGCAGGGGGAUAACAUAGCGAAAGGUAUGCUAAUACCCCAUAAGACUACUAAAUCGCAUGAUAAAGUAGUCAAAGAUUUAUCGGCAUAGGAUGGGCCCGCGUCUGAUUAGCUAGUUGGUAGGGUAACGGCCUACCAAGGCGACGAUCAGUAGCCGACCUGAGAGGGUGAACGGCCACACUGGAACUGAGACACGGUCCAGACUCCUACGGGAGGCAGCAGUGGGGAAUAUUGCACAAUGGGGGAAACCCUGAUGCAGCAACGCCGCGUGAGCGAAGAAGGCCUUCGGGUCGUAAAGCUCUGUCCUAAGGGAAGAAGCCUGACGGUACCUUAGGAGGAAGCCCCGGCUAACUACGUGCCAGCAGCCGCGGUAAUACGUAGGGGGCAAGCGUUAUCCGGAAUCACUGGGCGUAAAGGGUGCGUAG